Molecule: transfer RNA, 71 nt
Organism: Cavia porcellus (domestic guinea pig)
Lineage: Eukaryota; Metazoa; Chordata; Mammalia; Rodentia; Caviidae
Rfam family: tRNA
About the family: Transfer RNA (tRNA) molecules are approximately 80 nucleotides in length.
Source: Rfam
GGGGACUUAGCUCAGCAGCAUAAGCACCUGCCUUGCAAGCAGGCAGUCGUGGGUUAGAUCCCCAGUACCCA